UACGGAGGGUGCAAGCGUUAUCCGGAUUCACUGGGUUUUAAAGGGUGCGUAGGUGGGCAGGUAAGUCAGUGGUGAAAUCUCCGGGCUUAACCCGGAAACUGCCAUUGAUACUAUCAGUCUUGAAUACCUGGAGGUAAGCGGAAUAUGUCAUGUAGCGGUGAAAUGCUUAGAUAUGACAUAGAAACACCAAUUGCGAAGGCAGCUUACUACCCCAA
This 215-nucleotide ribosomal RNA is filed under the name uncultured bacterium. Its description in RNAcentral is "partial 16S ribosomal RNA". It matches the Rfam family "Bacterial small subunit ribosomal RNA", at positions 524 to 739 of the family's 1533-position model. The record is from RNAcentral.